GAAAAGCUUGGCUUUUCGACCAAGUGAGUMGGCGGACGGGWGAGUAACACGUGGGUAACCUGCCCAUAAGWGGGGGAUAACAUYCGGAAACGGAUGCUAAUACCGCAUAUUUCAARUGACCGCAUGGUCGCUUGAUGAAAGGUGGCUUCGAGCUACCRCUUAUGGAUGGACCCGCGGUGCAUUAGUUAGUUGGUGAGGUAAUGGCUCACCAAGACMAUGAUGCAUAGCCGACCUGAGAGGGUGAUCGGCCACACUGGGACUGAGACACGGCCCAGACUCCUACGGGAGGCAGCAGUAGGGAAUCUUCCGCAAUGGACGAAAGUCUGACGGAGCAAUGCCGCGUGAGUGAAGAAGGUUUUCGGAUCGUAAAACUCUGUUGUUAGAGAAGAACAAGGAUGAGAGUAACUGCUCAUCCCCUGACGGUAUCUAACCAGAAAGCCACGGCUAACUACGUGCCAGCCGCCGCGGUAAUUACA
Molecule: ribosomal RNA, 476 nt
Filed under: Carnobacterium sp. enrichment culture clone D_8m3_OTU5
Lineage: Bacteria; Bacillati; Bacillota; Bacilli; Lactobacillales; Carnobacteriaceae
Description: bacterial SSU rRNA
Rfam family: Bacterial small subunit ribosomal RNA
Source: RNAcentral